This 71-nucleotide transfer RNA is filed under the name Pegasus sinensis. RNAcentral's name for it is "tRNA-Trp". It matches the Rfam family "tRNA". From Rfam's summary of the family: Transfer RNA (tRNA) molecules are approximately 80 nucleotides in length. Their secondary structure includes four short double-helical elements and three loops (D, anti-codon, and T loops). Further hydrogen bonds mediate the characteristic L-shaped molecular structure. tRNAs have two regions of fundamental functional importance: the anti-codon, which is responsible for specific mRNA codon recognition, and the 3' end, to which the tRNAs corresponding amino acid is attached (by aminoacyl-tRNA synthetases). tRNAs cope with the degeneracy of the genetic code in two manners: having more than one tRNA (with a specific anti-codon) for a particular amino acid; and 'wobble' base-pairing, i.e. permitting non-standard base-pairing at the 3rd anti-codon position. The record is from RNAcentral. Lineage: Eukaryota; Metazoa; Chordata; Actinopteri; Syngnathiformes; Pegasidae.
AGGGAUUUAGGAUAGAGCUAGACCAGAGGCCUUCAAAGCCCCCAGCAAGGGUUAAAACCCCUUAAUCCCUG